UAACGUGCUAUGUUAGUUGUUUACUGAUGUAUUUUCUUUACGAAGCCUUGUUAUUUUCCGGCGACAUGGUUAUAAAUAUUCUUUCAACUUAAGCCAGAUACAGUUAAAAGUAUUGCAUGUGAUAAAUGGUUAUUAUUCGCUGGCCAUCUAUACGUGGAACCAAGUGUAGGUGCAUAUUACGAGACGUUAGUGCUUGGGACAAUUUUCAUUAACCAAGCUUUGACCACGUGUUUGUUUGACUGUCUCCAGUGGUUUCCAGUCUGUAGAUUAAGCCAAUUAAGGGUUGAAAUGGCUCCAUUUUGGGAUUAACAGAUUAGCAAGAGGCCAAGAGCCCUCUUAAACGUAAGCACCGGAAGUUGUUCUGAAGCUGCUUUGGGUACUUCACAACAUAAUACUAACAAAACAAGAAAAAAAAUUCAAUGUCAGAAGUUUGAUGGAAGAUUUAUAGUGUUGUUCGCUUCAAUUUUGGCAUGGCAUGUUUCAUGCCUUUUAAGGUCUGAUUUUCUCAACGUUUUUUGGUAGGUAGUACAGUUUGCAAAUAAGGGAACUUUUGACACAGACCUUGAAACCUUUUCUUCUAUCAAAAGGAAUUAGCACUCUUCCUACAUCCAGCACGAUGAUCAGCAGCACUUUGAGACUAAGUCUUUACGAAGUAAAAAAAACUUAUUCAGCGCAAGUAACCAAUAAUCACGUUGGUAAGGUGAGUCAAAAUUAGUAGUUGGCAGUUGAGGUAAACCAAGAAGAAGAUGAAAAUUUUCAUGCUUUGUAUGAAAAUUCAAAAGAAUUUCAAUUCUUUCAUGUUUUGCUAAAUAUCUUGAAUGAACUAUUAUAUCGCAAUAAGCGGAAUAUCCGACGGAUGAGCCGAUUGUGGGAUCUUCAAUUGACUUACGAUUCCAUCAUUUGAGCUCGCCACGUUUUGAGGCAGCAACGUGCCGACAACAAUGAAGCGAGUUGAAGAUAUCGAAAGAAAGGACUAGGAGAAACACGUCAAAAUUGUCGAGGAUUACAUGUCAACCAGAUCUUUCACAGGGCUUUUUCAGCCACAACGUUGGUGGAAGAAUAACGCUGAAUUAGCCACACUGGAAAACAUCAAACGAAGAAAAAACAAAUCAUAUUGUUGGAAAAUGUCGUGUUACUUUAUUCUAGGUAAUUGUAUUUGUGCAAAUUGUUAAGCUAAUAAAACGAUCUUUAUCUUUUGUGAUAACAAAUUA
Long non-coding RNA from Daphnia pulex (common water flea), 1211 nucleotides. RefSeq lists it as uncharacterized. The record is from RefSeq and is a predicted model, not a curated record. Lineage: Eukaryota; Metazoa; Arthropoda; Branchiopoda; Diplostraca; Daphniidae. The transcript has 4 exons.